RNAcentral lists this ribosomal RNA (457 nucleotides) under uncultured beta proteobacterium. RNAcentral's name for it is "bacterial SSU rRNA". It matches the Rfam family "Bacterial small subunit ribosomal RNA", at positions 342 to 791 of the family's 1533-position model. Lineage: Bacteria; Pseudomonadati; Pseudomonadota; Betaproteobacteria. The record is from RNAcentral.
CGGGGGGCAGCAGUGGGGAAUUUUGGACAAUGGGCGCAAGCCUGAUCCAGCCAUGCCGCGUGUGUGAAGAAGGCCUUCGGGUUGUAAAGCACUUUCGGCCGGGACGAAAUCGCUCGGGUUAACACCCAGGGUGGAUGACGGUACCGGAAUAAGAAGCACCGGCUAACUACGUGCCAGCAGCCGCGGUAAUACGUAGGGUGCAAGCGUUAAUCGGAAUUACUGGGCGUAAAGCGUGCGCAGGCGGUUUUGUAAGCCAGACGUGAAAUCCCCGGGCUUAACCUGGGAACUGCGUUUGGAACUGCAAGGCUAGAGUGCGGCAGAGGAAGGUGGAAUUCCUGGUGUAGCAGUGAAAUGCGUAGAUAUCAGGAGGAACACCAAUGGCGAAGGCAGCCUUCUGGGCUAGCACUGACGCUCAUGCACGAAAGCGUGGGGAGCAAACAGGAUUAGAUACCCCAGU